Long non-coding RNA from Vicia villosa (hairy vetch), 5265 nucleotides. RefSeq lists it as uncharacterized. The transcript is spliced from 3 exons. The record is from RefSeq and is a predicted model, not a curated record. NCBI's taxonomy places the organism in Eukaryota, Viridiplantae, Streptophyta, Magnoliopsida, Fabales, Fabaceae.
UUUUGUUUUGUUUUGUUGUUUCCAUCUUCCAGUGUUUGUGUAAUACCCCGAUCCUCCGACAUAAGUUAAUUAUCAUUUAAUUGGUUAAGUGAUGAUUAGAAGGCAUAUUGAUAUUGGCUUAUGUUAAUUAUUUAGAAUUAUUAUGAGAACAAGUGGACUAGUUAGAAUUAAAGGGAUUUGGUUGGAUAUGAACAAAAUGACAUUGUUGUAGAUAUGGCCUAGUUGGAAGGUAAAUUGGGUAUUAUUCUUCAAUUGCAUGGUCAUAAAGUGGUAGUAAAGACUAUAUUCUUUCCAAGUCAGAAUUUUUGAAGAAGAGAGAGCAUAGGAACAUGGAAAGAAAGAAGAACUCAUGAGGCAAGCUCCAUUUUCGCAACUAUUGAUACAGCUCCACUAAAUCAGCUUGGUUAUUGGUGGAGAUAAACACAUUUGAAGAUUGAUGAUUGAUGCUGAAAGUGAGUACAAGAGUGAUUACGGGUUUGAUCAUAUUAGAGGUGAAGUGUUGGUCAAAGAGAGAGUUCAAUGGCAGCAAGAGUAUUCUCAUAACCUCCAUUAAAUCCAUGGUGCAGUUUAGUAGCGUUUGACAGAUAGUAGGUUCGGAUUGACGACUUAAAGUGGUGAUGGCUCGGAGACCUCGUCAGAUCUUAUUUCCCGCUGUGCAAAUCCAUGAAGACACAUGUUUUGUAAUUAUUAAUAUUAUUUCAUGUUGUAUUUAUAUGGAUCCUCUUGUAUCUUUAGCUUUGGUAUGUACUCAAAUACCGAUUUUUAACGUUUCAUGCAUAAUAUACUAGUCAAUUAUGUGUGGGGUGUUACAGUUGGUAUCAGAGCAGGUCGAUUCUCGGCCGAGCCAUGAGACAUCACUAGCAAUUCCUUUCUUCCUCACAUGUGAGCGUUGCUUGCCUGAUUUUAUUGAUAUCUCAUUGAGUCGUUGAACUUGAUCAACCCAUCGACUAAGUGUGAGACAGUAGAAUUACGGCAGAGCCGCCACGAGGACUCGUAAACCUGUAAGUGUCGUGAACCCAAGUAGCAAGGAUUAGUUGGGUGGUGAAUUGUAUGUGGAAGCUGGAUUUAUUGGACGACGUAAGUAGAAGGGAUAUUGGAGUUGUCAGACUUAAGGAGAGCGUUUGACGCGAAAUAGUGAUACUCGAACUACCAAGUAUGGAUCGAGACAACUAGAACCCCCAGGAAUUAGAUUGGACGAAGUGAAUUUUUAUCCAAGUCUUGGUAAUGGCAAACAGGAUUGAGUAGGAGCCUUGUAGGUGAGAUUCUCCGAAGGUGUUGAGCUGGGAAUUAGUAGGAUUCAGUACCGAUGAUGUUGUCGGUGUUAAGUAUGACGGGUGAGCUGAUAGGACAGAAUGACCUUUGGAAAUGCGGACAGAAGAGUUAGACCUUUCUGAUUGUGCUAGUAUGGACAGUGAUUGGAUGGGCGGAGUAUUAGAUCCUCAUACAACUUGAAGUACCCUAAGCAAGAGUGGUUUCCUAGUGAAAGGUUGCUGGAAGGUGCGGAUUGGGUAACUUACGAUUGGGUGAAUCUUGGAUACCUGAUUGAUGGUAUAGGGCAUGCAUUUCCAUUCUUAUCAUUUUGUGCUUAAGUUCUAGAACUACGCUAGAUGGAAGACAAAAUGAGGUAGAAGCGUGAAGUGCAGUAACCUAAGUUCUUGUUAGUUAUAGUUCGUCUGACCUCGAGUGAAGCCAUAGAACUACGCUUGGCGUUGGGCGUUCAGCCGAGUAAGAACUAAGAUCUAUCUGGAACGUCAAUAGGAUGAUCGUAGUUGUGUUGGUUGUUAGGAACCAUAGUAUUCCUAUCUGGACUGAAUUAUCCUUGGAAUCCUAUGCAUGCGUGGGACGAGUGGGUACGCGCACUGCAUGGUAACCCGAAGUUGAACUUCAAUCUUCGUGCUUAGCAUUUUGGCUUCCCGAGUAAGUAAACCUUGGUGUGUAGCACUCUCAGGUUUUAGCAUCCUGAGGAGUGUGAUUCGAAGGACUUGAGGAACGAUGAGCCUAUUGGAAGCCUAUUCAGACACUUGUCGGUCGUGACUAUAGGAUACGCGUGGGGAUCAUCAUACGCCAUUAAGGUAGGUUACCUGGAUACAUGGCCUCGGAGUUGGACCACCAUGUCGGUACUACCAGACGAGUAUAAUGCCACCGUAUCGCUAUCGUGCACGAGAUGCGUGAGUCAUCCUUUUGCCGACAUGUGUGGGACAAAGGUGACCUGAAGCUCAAGGUAGAAUUCUGAUUUGGCACUUGUGAGAUACAGAUCCGGACUCUCAUAAGGUACGUGGGAUAAGGAUCCAUAUGUCGCGCUCGAUAGCAGAGGGAUAACUGAGAGGCGAUGGUGUGAUGGAUCAAGAUCUGAUACUAUGCUUAUGGAGACUCUGAGUGAUCGUACUCGCGUGAGUUAGAGUCAGAUUGUACCUUGGGGACGUUCUCGUUUCAUGAAGUGUUAGGUUGACAAUUUUACGUGAGUGUCUAGAGUGGGACUCGUAUGCGGUCAUGAUAUCCUGGUCAGCAUGGUGAGUGGCUAUCAUGUACCAUUGGCGACCGGUGAUGGAAUAUGCAAGUUGUAUCUUGGAUUGGCUUGAUGUGUGAUGUGUCUGGUAAGGUAUUGCUAGAUACUCUGAGUGGAGAAGUGUUAAUCUUUGUAAAGCAGGGACAUUUUGGUCUGAGAACUUCUGAGGAGUUUAUAAGAGAGAUGUUCGAAAUGCAAAGUGCAAAGUGCAAUUUCUUGUAUUGUGGCUACACUCAGACUGUUGGAAGCACUACAAUGAAGGAUGCAGCCGUCGAGGAAGUCAGUUUAGUGUCUGAUUCAGCGGUGGAACAGACAUUAGAUGACUGUGUGAAUGGAGUGUGGCUAUGGGAGAAUUGUUAUAUCAGUAAGUCACACGAGUUAUCAGAGGCGAUACUACGCUAAGAGAAUGAAGCCGUUUGAUUGGGGAGAAGCGAUGUGGAACUGACAGAGUUGUGGUAAGCUGCAGUACGUUAUGAAGGAUUAGUUAUACCAUCUAAGCAACAAGGCUUGUUGGAAUGAUGGACAUAGCAGUUAUACGCUUAUACGUUGCGGAAAUCAGUAACGAAGGACGAUUUUUAAGUCAAUGGGUGUUUGGUUUUCAAUGUCCUGAAACCGAAGCUUGUGCCUAAGUUGUGAUAGAUGGAUCUAACCUGAAAUGAUAGAGUAGGUGGAGACUUGGUUCUGGGGAUUACGCAACUACAAGGAGUAGUAGUCAACAAUGAACGCAUAUGGAGUUCUGGCACGUGUUGUAAUUGGACAACUGUAGAUAAGGAAUUAUUGUGUAUUUAUGGAAACUAAGUGAAUUAUGGAUAUAACGUGACUCUGAGGAUUUAAAGGUGUGUGACUUGUUGGAAUCAGAGUAGCGCAACGGAUCAAGGAAGAAUCAGAUAAGUCUGAGGGGGAAAUGAGCGGAUUAUUUGUGGGAUCUUAUGUUGGGAUGAAAAUAUUUUCUUGAGGGAAAUUGCCGUAGCAGCAUUUUGUUCAUUCCAAUCUCUCGAAGAUCCACCAUAAGCUCGUGAGGUGUCGUCAAUGGGCCAGCCCGGGAAUACUUUUUGUGGAUGGUGUGCGGACCGAUGUUCGUAAGUCAUCAGUUUAGCUUGUAAGUUGCAGGGGUCGGACAUAGUAUCGUGACCGCCGGAAUGCUGAAGACUAGUGGGGAUUUUAAGUUGGCGCAAGUUAUUGUGGUUAUGUCUUGUGUACUGUGAUCGUACAGGAAGACUGGUACAAUGGUUACAGGUCAGUUGUUAAAUUUCACCUCUCAUCAGUAGAAUCAUGUGCGAAGUUGUCGAAUGUCAAGGCUAUAGUUGCAAGAUGAUUACACUUUCGCGGUUUACAGUGACAGUUGUUAUGUCUAACUGGAGUAAGGAUUAAAGUAAGGAGAUUCAGUUGUAUAAGUAAAGAUAAAUUUGGGACAAUCAUCCUAAGACUUUGGGAACCAGAGGUUAAGACCAAGGAAUUUGGAGACCACCUAAUGACAUUGUAUGAACUCGAGUGGAGAAUAACUUGAAGUGUUAUCCCAGAAGCGACGUUGUGGCAGUAAUCCUCAAACGGGAAGUAAUUCAAAGAGCUGAGUGGAUUAUUAGAGUUUUUGAAGUUAUGGAAAUCCAGUGCAGAGCAGUGGAGGUCGAGGACCUUGGAAAGGUCUUAUACCAUAUAUGUCAAGACGAAGUAUCUGCAGAGAUGGGCUGCGCGAGGAUUAGAGUUUCUAAUCGUGAAUAGUGGGACGCAAGUAUUUUGGCGGAUUAUGUUUCUUCGUAUGGGAUGACCAUCAGACAGAGUAGUGGGAUUAUCUAAAGAGGAAUGUGAGUAACAUUCUUUCUCUUGGUUGGAUAGAUAUGAAGAGUUGGUUUUCUUGGUGAGCGGAAGGAAUUCGAGGACGGAUUCUAUUUAAGGGGGGGAGAAUGUAAUACCCCGAUCCUCCGACAUAAGUUAAUUAUCAUUUAAUUGGUUAAGUGAUGAUUAGAAGGCAUAUUGAUAUUGGCUUAUGUUAAUUAUUUAGAAUUAUUAUGAGAACAAGUGGACUAGUUAGAAUUAAAGGGAUUUGGUUGGAUAUGAACAAAAUGACAUUGUUGUAGAUAUGGCCUAGUUGGAAGGUAAAUUGGGUAUUAUUCUUCAAUUGCAUGGUCAUAAAGUGGUAGUAAAGACUAUAUUCCUUCCAAGUCAGAAUUUUUGAAGAAGAGAGAGCAUAGGAACAUGGAAAGAAAGAAGAACUCAUGAGGCAAGCUCCAUUUUCGCAACUAUUGAUACAGCUCCACUAAAUCAGGUAUAUCUCCCAACUCGUAACUCCGAUCGUAACGAUUCUGGUCCCAUUGGAAAGCUAACGAAUUUCUCUUCGAUUUGCACCUAUGGUUCGCGUUCAUAGCUUGGUUAUUGGUGGAGAUAAACACAUUUGAAGAUUGAUGAUUGAUGCUGAAAGUGAGUACAAGAGUGAUUACGGGUUUGAUCAUAUUAGAGGUGAAGUGUUGGUCAAAGAGAGAGUUCAAUGGCAGCAAGAGUAUUCUCAUAACCUCCAUUAAAUCCAUGGUGAGUCCUUAGUUAGAGACUUUGGGGAAAAUCAUGGGAAUUGCAUGUUUGGGGUUUAGGGAUUGUGAGAAAUAAUUAUAAAUCCAUGACACUAACAUGAUAAUUGUGCUAUUUGUUGGUUGUUAAUUGUUAUUUGUUGGCUGGAUAUAUCUUCAAAUCGUGCAUGCAGGUGGAUUCACGGGGUUAAAAUACCCCAGGACAGAACUGAUGAGUUCUGCAUUUUUCUGUGUCUGCUA